This 102-nucleotide Y RNA is filed under the name Zalophus californianus (California sea lion). Its description in RNAcentral is "Y RNA (ENSZCAG00015013488.1)". It matches the Rfam family "Y RNA". Rfam says of the family: Y RNAs are components of the Ro ribonucleoprotein particle (Ro RNP), in association with Ro60 and La proteins. The record is from RNAcentral. Lineage: Eukaryota; Metazoa; Chordata; Mammalia; Carnivora; Otariidae.
CGCUGGUCUGAGUGCAGCGAUGUUUACAAUUCAUUGAUCACAGCCAGUUACAGAUUUCUUUGUUCCUUUUCCAUUCCCACUGCUUUACCUGACUAGCCAAAA